UGGGUCCCCCAGCAGUGCCAGCCCACCAGCGCUGCGCUCGAUUUCUCACCCAGCCUUAGCUGCCUUCCCGCGGGGCAGGGCUCGGGACCUGCAGCCCGCCAUGCCUGACCCUCCUACCCACUCCAUGGGCUCCUGUGCGGCCGGAGCCUCCCCAUACUAGCCCACCAGGAGGAACGAACAACUCCAGAGCUGCCGCCUUAAGAGCUGUAACACUCACGGCAAAGUUCUGCAGCUUCACUCCUGAGCCAGCGAGACCACGAACCCACCAGAAGGAAGAAACUCCGAACACAUCAGAAUAUCAGAAGGAACAAACUCCAGACGCGCCACCUUAAGAGCUGUAACACUCACCGCAAGGGUCCACGGCUUCAUUCUUGAAGUCAGUGAGACCAAGAACCCACCAAUUCCGGACACAGUGUCAGGCGCCUGUAGUCCCGGCUCCUCGGGAGGCUGAGGCAGGAGAAUGGCGUCAACCCGGAAGGCGGAGCUUGCAGUGAGCCGAGAUCACGCCACUGCACUCCAGCCUGGGCGACUGAGCAAGACUCCGUCUCAAAACAACAACAACAACAACAACAAACCAUAGUCCUUUGUCAGUUUUUAGUCUACUACUUCUGACCUAUUAACAGCUCCUGGCCUUCCAUUUCUAGUUAUCCCAGAAGGACAUACUGGAACACUUUGCAGGUUACACACUUUGAUGGCACUAACUGCAUGUUAGAAUUGUGUGGCAAAGAACUGAAGGCAUCAGUCCAAAAGCCCAAAGAACUAAAUACUGCCAACAACCACACGAACUUGGAAGUGGGUCCUUUCCCAGUGAGCUCUGGAGAUGACAAAAGACAGACGACACCUUGAUUGUAGUCUGUGAGAAAACCUGAAGCAGAAGACCCAGCUAACUUGUGCUCAGAUUCCUGACCAAUACAAAUUGUGAGACAAAUGUGUAAUUUUUUAAGCCAAGUUUUUGAUAAUGUAAUAUGAAGUGAUAGAUAACUAAUACAAAAUAGAGAACUGGACACAUAUGUUCACGAGGUAUUCUGGCAUAAAAGUACAUUCAAUAAAAAACUUGUUGCUACUCUGUA
Molecule: long non-coding RNA, 1070 nt
Organism: Gorilla gorilla gorilla (western lowland gorilla)
Lineage: Eukaryota; Metazoa; Chordata; Mammalia; Primates; Hominidae
Exons: 2
Source: RefSeq, a predicted model, not a curated record